This is a non-coding RNA of Stegodyphus mimosarum, 73 nucleotides long. Lineage: Eukaryota; Metazoa; Arthropoda; Arachnida; Araneae; Eresidae. The record is from Rfam.
GCCUUCGUGGUGUAAUGGUCAGCACACUGAGCCGGUAAUUUAGAGGUCCGUGGUUCGAUUCCCGGCGAAGGCG